This 409-nucleotide ribosomal RNA is filed under the name Bacillota bacterium. Its description in RNAcentral is "Firmicutes bacterium partial 16S ribosomal RNA". It matches the Rfam family "Bacterial small subunit ribosomal RNA", at positions 355 to 776 of the family's 1533-position model. Lineage: Bacteria; Bacillati; Bacillota. The record is from RNAcentral.
UGGGGAAUAUUGGACAAUGGGCGGAAGCCUGAUCCAGCAACGCCGCGUGAGGGAUGACGGCCUUCGGGUUGUAAACCUCUUUCGCCUGUGACGAAGCGCAAGUGACGGUAACAGGUAAAGAAGCACCGGCCGACUACGUGCCAGCAGCCGCGGUAAUACGUAGGGUGCGAGCGUUGUCCGGAAUUAUUGGGCGUAAAGGGCUCGUAGGCGGUUUGUCGCGUCGGGAGUGAAAACCAGGUGCUUAACACCUGGCUUGCUUUCGAUACGGGCAGACUAGAGGUAUUCAGGGGAGAACGGAAUUCCUGGUGUAGCGGUGAAAUGCGCAGAUAUCAGGAGGAACACCGGUGGCGAAGGCGGUUCUCUGGGAAUGACCUGACGCUGAGGAGCGAAAGUGUGGGGAGCGAACAGG